AAAUAAUCAAAAUUUUUAGUGGUUGAGGAAGUCCCUUUCUGAUAUGGCUCAUUAUUACAAACAUUCAGAAAUAAUACUAGCUAAAUCAAAUCAUUCCUUAAUAUAGUGUUUCCUAAAUGCAUUACCACUUUCCAGAUCUCAUGUAACAUAUACUGUGCUAUAUUUACUAAUUUUAAAAAAAUGUUUUAGCCUUUUUAAACCAUGGUUUUGUUUUGAGCAAUCAUAUUUCACAUUUUAUGUACUUAUUUUUUCUAAUAAACAUUAAAAUAAAUUUAAAACUAUUAAGGAAAAAUUACUCAUCCAUGUACUACACCACUUAAAAUCAUCUCAGGGCUGUCUAGUGGCAUAUGUGUAUUAUUGUUUAGAAAACAUUGCCAUAACUAUAUGAAGUAAUAUCUAAUAUAACAUAGUUACUUUGUCAUAUUUUAUAUAAUUUAGCCAUAUAAAAAGGUAUCACUGUAAUUUUGGUAGUGUGGGUUUACAAAUAAUGUGUUGAUUAGCUUAUAGCUUUGAGGUUUGGGGAAUAUUGAAACAUUUUAUAAACAAACCAUUUACAGCUUAUUCAUGAUAGAGUUAAACAUAAUUUGCAAGUUUCUGGCCAAGAUCAAAAUAUAAUUAUAGAUAACUGACGUAGAGAAUUUAUAAACAGAAGUUGAUAAUCUGUUUUUGAUCAUUGGAUGUCUUUGAAAUAUAAAUGAGCAAAUUAUGUUUGUGCAUAAUAGAGCAUUCUUAUACUUAACAAGGAACACCUUCUAUUUCUGUAUUUAAGUAAAUAUUAAACAUGGU
RNAcentral lists this long non-coding RNA (786 nucleotides) under Marmota monax (woodchuck). Lineage: Eukaryota; Metazoa; Chordata; Mammalia; Rodentia; Sciuridae. The record is from RNAcentral.